GACGAACGCUGGCGGCGUGCUUAACACAUGCAAGUCGAACGGAAAGGCCCUGCUUUUGUGGGUUUCUCGAGUGCCGAACGGGUGAGUAUCACGUGAGUAACCUGCCCUUGACUUUGGGAUAACUUCUGGAAACUCGGGCUAAUACCGGGUAGGAUCUUCUGCUCCGUGUGGUUCGUUGGUAAGUUUCGGCUGUUGUGGAUGGUCUCGCGGCUUAUCAGCUUGAUGGGGAGGUAGUGGCUGCCCAAGGCUUUGACGGAUAGGCGGCCUGAGAGGGUGACCGGCCACCAUGGGACUGAGAGACGGCCCAGACUCCUACGUGAGGCAGCAGUGGGGAAUAUUGCACAAUGGGGGGAAGCCUGAUGCAGCAACGCCGCGUGCGGGAUGACGGCCUUCGGGUUGUAAACCGCUUUCGCCUGUGACGAAGCGUGAGUGACGGUAAUGGGUAAAGAAGCACCGGCUAACUACGUG
This 468-nucleotide ribosomal RNA is filed under the name uncultured bacterium. Its description in RNAcentral is "partial 16S ribosomal RNA". It matches the Rfam family "Bacterial small subunit ribosomal RNA", at positions 28 to 507 of the family's 1533-position model. The record is from RNAcentral.